This 301-nucleotide ribosomal RNA is filed under the name uncultured bacterium. Its description in RNAcentral is "partial 16S ribosomal RNA". It matches the Rfam family "Bacterial small subunit ribosomal RNA", at positions 509 to 807 of the family's 1533-position model. The record is from RNAcentral.
CAGUCGCCGCGGGAAUACAGAGGGUGCGAGCGUUAAUCGGAUUUACUGGGCGUAAAGCGCACGUAGGCGGAUAAUUAAGUCAGGGGUGAAAUCCCGCAGCUCAACUGCGGAACUGCCUUUGAUACUGGGUAUCUUGAGUAUGGAAGAGGUUAGUGGAAUUGCGAGUGUAGAGGUGAAAUUCGUAGAUAUUCGCAGGAACACCAGUGGCGAAGGCGGCUAACUGGUCCAUAACUGACGCUGAGGUGCGAAAGCGUGGGGAGCAAACAGGAUUAGAUACCCCCGUAGUCCCUGUCUCUUAUAC